Galeopterus variegatus (Sunda flying lemur) is the source of this 1712-nucleotide long non-coding RNA. RefSeq lists it as uncharacterized. The record is from RefSeq and is a predicted model, not a curated record. The transcript is spliced from 3 exons. NCBI's taxonomy places the organism in Eukaryota, Metazoa, Chordata, Mammalia, Dermoptera, Cynocephalidae.
UAAGAGAAGCCAGCCGCCAUGUUGUGAGGUUGCUCAAGCAGCCCCAUGGGGAGGUCCAUGUGGAGAGGAAACGAGGCCUUUGCUACAGCUAACACCUUGCAAGUGGCUCCUCCAGUCCCAAUCCGGCCUUCAGAUGACCACUGCCCCAGCUCAUACCUUGACUGCAACUUCAUGAAAGACCUGGAGCCAGGGAACCCAAUUAAGCUGUUUCUGAAUUCCUGAUUUACAGUACUUGGGAAAGAUAAGUAUUUGUGGCUGUUUUAAGCCACUAAAUUCUGGAGUAAUUUGUUAUGUGGCACUAGAUAACAAAAAUUAAGUGUGAUACCAGAAGUGGGGUGCUGCUGGAACAUAAACCUUAAAUUAUGGGAGUGGCUUUUGAACUGGGCAGGUGGCAGAACCUGGAAGGACUCUGAAGAAAGUCUAAAGGGCAUCAGAGUCCAGUAGCAGAAGGGGGAGGCUGGUGAGGGUUUAAAGGAAGGUGAGGACAAGAUAUUGAAGACUGGAAGAAAGGGCGUUCUUUUUAUGGAAAGGCAGGAAUUUAACAACACUGCAGCAACAGGGAAAGCGGAAACUGUGCCUAACAAGUUGGAUGAUGUAACUAAAGAAAUUUCCAGGCAAGUCUUGGUAUUGAGAUCCUUUAGUAAAGAUAACUGUCUCACUUGUUACAAACACGAAAGAAUCAGGAGAGGAAGCCCUGCCCUUGGCCUCUGGGGUAUGUCCUCCUCUGGCCUCCUGGGAAUUGACUGAUUCAGAAGGUAGAGAGCUGUCAUUCUUGUGGAUUCCCAGGGUGGGUCUCAGUGAACUUGGUAGUGAAAUAGGAUCGUGUUCAUGCUCUUGCCAGAGUCUAGAGCAGAGCAGGCCCUCAACACAUUUCUAAGGGAGAGAAGGCAAGUGAACAGUACCCAGUGAAGAACUGAAUCUGUGCUCCCAUCACUGCACCCUGCCCGGUGGCCCACACGGCCACGGGAAGCUGAGUCAGACAGAGUCUUAACCGACACACACAGUCACAGUGCUCCAUGGGCCAGGGCCAGGAUGUUUGUGCCCUUCACAGGGAGGAGCCUGAUGAGGGUUUGAGUACGGAAGGCCCUUGCCAUAUUCUUCUUCCUAACGACAGAAGCCACUCACAUUCAUGUCACCUCUCCUUUCAGAUGAUGGCGUGACGGCCUGAACUUUAAAGUGAUUUACCUUUAUUUACUCUUAUGUGUGACACUUUGCCUUCACUGUUGUCACAACCAAGGCUCUCACCAGUGGUGUCCCCCGGACUUUGGACUUCCCAGCCUCAGAAACUCACUUUGGAACAUAUUCUGCUCUUUGGGGAAUUCCCUCCUACUGAGUCCCUGACUCUCCAGAGGAGCCAGAAACUCUGCUUCUCAGAAAUGAGGGUGCAGAAAUGUCAGCAGCCUCCCCAGGUAGAUGCACCAACACCAGACUUUGAUUGAGCCAGCACUCUAAGAUGAAGCAGGUUCUCAUGUGAUCUGUCCUGGUAGAAAGGCAGCAAGGUCCAGUGGCCGAGGUUCCAGGGUGGCAUCCGAAGCCGAUUUGUAGUGGCUCCACUCGGCGAUGGCAACAGCGUCUCUCCCUGGAGGUGCUUUGCAGUGGCACGUUUGGGCCAUGUUCCCACUGUAGAGUUUCUGAGCCUGGUUCUCAGCUGCUCAUGAGAUACUGGGAGCCCCCAAUAUUCUGUAAUAAAUUGUAUUUCUGCUUAAACAGGC